GGCGGCUCGAGUGGUGGCCACUAUUACUGGGCUUAAAGCGUUCGUAGCUGGUCUGUUAAGUCUCUGGGGAAAUCUUCCGGCUCAACCGGAAGGCGUCUCAGGGAUACUGGCAGACUAGGGACCGGAGAGGUGAGGGGUACUCCAGGGGUAGGAGUGAAAUCCUGUAAUCCUUGGGGGACCACCUGUGGCGAAGGCGCCUCACCAGAACGGCUCCGACAGUGAGGAACGAAAGCUGGGGGAGGCAAACC
This 248-nucleotide ribosomal RNA is filed under the name uncultured euryarchaeote. RNAcentral describes it as "partial 16S ribosomal RNA". It matches the Rfam family "Archaeal small subunit ribosomal RNA", at positions 478 to 725 of the family's 1478-position model. Lineage: Archaea; Methanobacteriati; Methanobacteriota. The record is from RNAcentral.